Molecule: non-coding RNA, 678 nt
Organism: Procambarus clarkii (red swamp crayfish)
Lineage: Eukaryota; Metazoa; Arthropoda; Malacostraca; Decapoda; Cambaridae
Source: RefSeq, a predicted model, not a curated record
UUCAGAUCUAUAAUGCUGAUGAAACUGAUCUAGUGUGGAGAGGUAUUCCAUCUGAAACAUUAGCUAGUAGACUAGUGGAAUCUCUACCAUGCCCUCAGAAGGCGAGUGCGGUGACCCAUAGGGCCAUCUGUGCAUCUCAGUGUGAAAGUUGGAAAUCUUAUGUCUCUGCCAUUACUGUUGGCACCCAUCUACCUAAGAUCUGGAAGAAACUAUUCAUGCAUCAGAUUGCAGAUGCAUCAAAACCUUGACACAGCAUAGGCUCCAAGAUACAACAUGGAAUGUUGGACAAGCUCAGCCUAAUACUUGACCCUUCGUCCUUCUACUAAAGCAGCUUGUUCGAGUAGUAGGAUGAAGUUGGUUCGUACUCAACUAGUUGAAUAAAAAAAUAUCCCAGCGUGCAUGCACCAAGCCAUCAGCCUGUGUCCCAUAUCUUGCAUUCAGUCUGUUGAUCCUGGGCCUAGAACAGAUGUAUCAGGUAGGGAUGAGGGAGCAACAAGGGUUCACCCAGAAAGGGGCAUUUCAUUAUAAUCAAUGCUGGUUUUCUUGGGAGAACCAGCAUUGCUGACAUGUCCUGAUUUAUCCUCUGAUGUUUCACCAAUAGUUUUAUCACUUGUUUUUCUUUAUUUACAUUCAGUGUCAUUAUAUCCAUAUUUGCAUCAUACAUAUAAAACCCAGACA